GGGUUAAUGGGGAUGGGAGCAAGAAGACCGUGGGCGUGUCAACACAAGAGAAACGAAAAUUUUAUACAAAUAAACAGAUGGAACCUACGUAACACUCGACAACCUGGGCUGGAGAUGCAGGAUUUGACAUUUACGUGUUGUUUCUUUCCCACUUGCUCUCUCUCUACUUUGACACAAUUUUCAAGACUGUGAAAGCGUUGAAAUCUGGAGCCAGUAUCGUCCUCUCCGUUUGUCACUCUGAUGUACAGUUGAGAAAAGAGCGACAAUGGUGGAGCCUUUGCUGUGGAAGAUAUACAGCAUGGCAGCACAUCUUCCGGGCAACUCUUUUUUUAUUUACCCUUAAUACCACAUUUCUACUUAGUAAUUAUGGGCGUUCUUAGCUUGUUUAGUUUCACAUUACAUUUAUUAAAACCCUAAAUAUCAUACUCUUUACUGUUCUUUUUUCUUCCCCCA
Gossypium arboreum is the source of this 453-nucleotide long non-coding RNA. RefSeq lists it as uncharacterized. The transcript is spliced from 2 exons. Lineage: Eukaryota; Viridiplantae; Streptophyta; Magnoliopsida; Malvales; Malvaceae. The record is from RefSeq and is a predicted model, not a curated record.